GUCGUCUUGACUCAAGUCUGCGAAGUGUAGGCGUCAUGGCUGAACUGC
Molecule: non-coding RNA, 48 nt
Filed under: Alexandrium minutum
Lineage: Eukaryota; Dinophyceae; Gonyaulacales; Pyrocystaceae
Source: RNAcentral